Molecule: ribosomal RNA, 253 nt
Filed under: uncultured bacterium
Lineage: Bacteria
Description: partial 16S ribosomal RNA
Rfam family: Bacterial small subunit ribosomal RNA
Source: RNAcentral
UACGGGGGGGGCAAGCGUUGUUCGGAAUUACUGGGCGUAAAGCGCGCGUAGGCGGCUUUUCAAGUCGAGUGUGAAAGCCCCGGGCUCAACCUGGGAACGGCGCGCGAGACGGGGGGGCUGGAGUUCGGGAGAGGAGCGUGGAAUUCCCAGUGUAGAGGUGAAAUUCGUAGAUAUUGGGAAGAACACCGGUGGCGAAGGCGGCGCUCUGGACCGAGACUGACGCUGAGGCGCGAAAGCGUGGGGAGCAAACAGG